This 243-nucleotide ribosomal RNA is filed under the name uncultured bacterium. RNAcentral describes it as "partial 16S ribosomal RNA". It matches the Rfam family "Bacterial small subunit ribosomal RNA", at positions 534 to 776 of the family's 1533-position model. The record is from RNAcentral.
GCAAGCGUUGUUCGGAAUUACUGGGCGUAAAGGGCGCGUAGGCGGUUCGCUAAGUUGGAUGUGAAAACUCUGGGCUCAACCCAGAGCCUGCAUCCAAAACUGGCGGGCUAGAGUUCUGGAGGGGGUAGCGGAAUUCCUGGUGUAGCGGUGAAAUGCGUAGAUAUCAGGAGGAACACCGGUGGCGAAGGCGGCUACCUGGACAGAAACUGACGCUGAGGCGCGAAAGCUAGGGGAGCAAACAGG